CGCUAGCUACAGGCUUAACACAUGCAAGUCGCCUUGAAGCAUGGUCUUAGCUUGCUAAGGCCGAUGGCGACCGGCGCACGGGUGAGUAACACGUAUCCAACCUGCCGUCUACUCUUGGACAGCCUUCUGAAAGGAAGAUUAAUACAAGAUGGCAUCAUGAGUCCGCAUGUUCACAUGAUUAAAGGUAUUCCGGUAGACGAUGGGGAUGCGUUCCAUUAGAUAGUAGGCGGGGUAACGGCCCACCUAGUCUUCGAUGGAUAGGGGUUCUGAGAGGAAGGUCCCCCACAUUGGAACUGAGACACGGUCCAAACUCCUACGGGAGGCAGCAGUGAGGAAUAUUGGUCAAUGGGCGAGAGCCUGAACCAGCCAAGUAGCGUGAAGGAUGACUGCCCUAUGGGUUGUAAACUUCUUUUAUAAAGGAAUAAAGUCGGGUAUGGAUACCCGUUUGCAUGUACUUUAUGAAUAAGGAUCGGCUAACUCCGUGCCAGCAGCCGCGGUAAUACGGAGGAUCCGAGCGUUAUCCGGAUUUAUUAGGUUUAAAGGGAGCGUAGAUGGAUGUUUAAGUCAGUUGUGAAAGUUUGCGGCUCAACCGUAAAAUUGCAGUUGAUACUGGAUAUCUUGAGUGCAGUUGAGGCAGGCGGAAUUCGUGGUGUAGCGGUGAAAUGCUUAGAUAUCACGAAGAACUCCGAUUGCGAAGGCAGCCUGCUAAGCUGCAACUGACAUUGAGGCUCGAAAGUGUGGGGUAUCAAACAGGAUUAGAUACCCUGGUAGUCCACACGGUAAACGAUGAAUACUCGCUGUUUGCGAUAUACUGCAAGCGGCCAAGCGAAAGCGUUAAGUAUUCCACCUGGGGAGUACGCCGGCAACGGUGAAACUCAAAGGAAUUGACGGGGGCCCGCACAAGCGGAGGAACAUGUGGUUUAAUUCGAUGAUACGCGAGGAACCUUACCCGGGCUUAAAUUGCAGAUGAAUUACAGUGAAAGCCGUAAGCCGCAAGGCAUCUGUGAAGGUGCUGCAUGGUUGUCGUCAGCUCGUGCCGUGAGGUGUCGGCUUAAGUGCCAUAACGAGCGCAACCCUUGUUGUCAGUUACUAACAGGUUCCGCUGAGGACUCUGACAAGACUGCCAUCGUAAGAUGUGAGGAAGGUGGGGAUGACGUCAAAUCAGCACGGCCCUUACGUCCGGGGCUACACACGUGUUACAAUGGGGGGUACAGAGGGCCGCUACCACGCGAGUGGAUGCCAAUCCCCAAAACCUCUCUCAGUUCGGACUGGAGUCUGCAACCCGACUCCACGAAGCUGGAUUCGCUAGUAAUCGCGCAUCAGCCACGGCGCGGUGAAUACGUUCCCGGGCCUUGUACACACCGCCCGUCAAGCCAUGGGAGCCGGGGGUACAAGGAGUGCGUAACCGCGAGGAG
Molecule: ribosomal RNA, 1415 nt
Filed under: uncultured organism
Description: 16S ribosomal RNA
Rfam family: Bacterial small subunit ribosomal RNA
Source: RNAcentral